GCUGGGUGGGGUGCAAUGCACAGCUGCCUAAACAUGCAUUCUGUCGGAGAGCAAGACUGGGAACGUGAAAAAGGGGAAUAUCAUUUUUAUUUAUUCAGUCAUCUAAACGGUUGUAUCCCACUUAUCGAGGAACUUCCUCCACAAAACAGAGCACCUUCUCUAGAGGAAAGGAGGAAGCAUUUGGGGCUUAGAAACAAGACAACCAAGAAUGGGCGCAAUCGAGGUUUAUACAACUGUACCCGGUGUGGAGAGCAAAAUGUUUUUCCCCCUCACCCGUAACUCAAAAAUUCCAGUGACACUGACUGAGGAUUUGGAUAGACCCAAAGCAAAGAGCUUCAACACACAACAGGACCACAGGGAGCAUAAGUAUCUACAUACUGCCGUCUUGCAAAACGUCAGGCUGGUGUACGACAACACAAAAAGCACUUAAAAAUAAUACAAAACAAUCAUGAAAACGACGGGCUACUAGAAAAAGAAAAAAAGCAGCCUGUCAGCACAAUAAGUUUUCAAGAGACGCCUGAAAGCAGGAAUGAAGAUGCCUGCUGAAUCUGAGCAUGCCACAGCAUGGGACCAGUGACACUAAACCUCCGUAACAUGAAGGACCACUGAUGGCACUCCUCCGGAUGAUCUCAGAGAUCACGAUGGGAUACGAGGGCUCAGCCCACCUGAGCAGCAGCCCUCAAGUGACCAUCAGACAGCUGCUGGUGGUCAGGACUACCGCUAGGCACGCCCACCGACAUAGGUGGGGGGCUCAUCGGAUCUCAGUCUAGCCCCAUAUUUGAACCACAGAGGACUUGUGGGCAUCUGAUGAAGUUGGGAGUUUCAGGAGAGACAAGAGGAAGGCGUUCAUCGCACAGCUCAAUGAUGGAAUUUGCUCCCAGAAGAUGGCCACCGACUUGGGUGGCUUUCAGAGAAGGUUAGCCAAAUUCACAGAGAAGAAGGCUGCACCUGUGGUCUCCCCUCCACUGUUGGAGGCAGCGUGCCUCUGUAUCAUACCAGCUGCUGGAAACUGCAGGAGGGGAAAGCACUCUUGUGCUCAGCCCCCCCCUUCCGGGCUUCCCUUUGGGGGCAUCCAGCUGGCCCCUGCGAGAACAGGAGGCUGGACUCGAUGGGCCCCCUUUGGCUGGAUCCGGCAGCCGGGCUCUGCUGAUGUUACAAGAUGCAAUGCACAGUCUUCAAAACAGGGUGUCACUCAGUCGGGAGGACACGCUGGACUCGCAUGAUCUCUUGUGGGCCUCAGCCCCUCUCCCCCUAAACCUGUUUCACUGUGCUGAAUCUGGAGUGGUGCGUGUUGGGGACAGCGACUUGCAAAGCCAGUGCACCAUUGUCUGGGCUGACCUAGGGGGACCCUCCCCUAUGAUCUGAGGCUGGGUCCCUCUCAUGGACUCAGGACCCACUCGGCCUCCAUGUCAGGAGCCGAACUCACCCUGGGUGCAGACGGCCCUUCUGUGGCCUGGUCACAGGAUCAUGGCUCCUCCUCACCCUCUCAGAUGGAGCCGGACCCAGGGCUGGAGAUAAGGCCGGAGCCUCCUGAUUUUCCUCUGAUGAGGACUCCCCCAGCUGGGACCUGACAUUGGCACACAAGUCUUGGUGGGCUUCCUCAAACACGCCUAUUUGUAACGGGCUACCCCAAUGAAGAAAUUUUAACAUUUCCUCCCAUCUCCAUUCCCUAAAGCCCAGAAUAAUCAAUGAGAUGCACUAGCACUACUCAGGCUGCAUCAACUACUCCUCCCCCCCUUGCUGUGGAUGAUGAAAAACACUCGGUAGAGAUGGAGCCUGAUCCACAAUGGAACCUCCAGUGGAAGCAAGCUGUUGCCCAUCACUGGUAAAGAAUGUGCCAAGUGUCCUUGCCACCACGGCUUGUGUUGCUCUUCCUCGCUGCUUGUCACCACCCGCCUCAGCACCAGCAUGGCCAUCUUCAGCCUCCUCCUCAAGCCUUUGUCCUGCUUCUUUGUCUAUCAGAUGUGCCGGGAGUGUGGAGGAGAGUGUGCCUUGAACCUAGACUGGGAAGGUUCACCGGAGAGACAUGUUUCCCGGGAUGGUGUUGACUCCGCUGCUGUUUCCCUUGUCUGCCACUGCUGGGCCGGCUUCCUCUCUCUGUUCCUUCCAGAGGGGCUUUUCUUGCUUUGUGUGUGUCUCUGCCGGUUUGGAGAUGGGCAUUUGCCUCCCAUCUUUUCUCCUGGGCCCUUUUUAGAAGGCCAAGAAGAGAGAGGAGUGAAGUUUUGCUUUGUGAUUUGUUAAUGUAUUUUAUUGGAUGUUGUAACUGCUGUUUUUUGUAAAUUGUAUUGUUUUUAUUGAUGUAUUUUUAUAUUUGUGUUAAUUUUUUUUUGUAAGCCGCCUUGAGGGCCUUUUGGCCAAAAGGCGGGGUAGAAAUAAACAACAACAACAACAAUAAUAAUAAUAAUAAUAAUAAUCCCUCCUUGAAAAGUGCCCUUUCCAAAAACCGGUGCCAGUUUAAAC
Long non-coding RNA from Rhineura floridana, 2460 nucleotides. RefSeq lists it as uncharacterized. The record is from RefSeq and is a predicted model, not a curated record. The transcript has 3 exons. NCBI's taxonomy places the organism in Eukaryota, Metazoa, Chordata, Lepidosauria, Squamata, Rhineuridae.